RNAcentral lists this ribosomal RNA (490 nucleotides) under uncultured bacterium. RNAcentral describes it as "partial 16S ribosomal RNA". It matches the Rfam family "Bacterial small subunit ribosomal RNA", at positions 30 to 507 of the family's 1533-position model. The record is from RNAcentral.
AUUGAACGCUGGCGGCAGGCCUAACACAUGCAAGUCGAACGGUAACAGGAAGCAGCUUGCUGCUUCGCUGACGAGUGGCGGACGGGUGAGUAAUGUCUGGGAAACUGCCUGAUGGAGGGGGAUAACUACUGGAAACGGUAGCUAAUACCGCAUAACGUCGCAAGACCAAAGAGGGGGACCUUAGGGCCUCUUGCCAUCGGAUGUGCCCAGAUGGGAUUAGCUAGUAGGUGGGGUAACGGCUCACCUAGGCGACGAUCCCUAGCUGGUCUGAGAGGAUGACCAGCCACACUGGAACUGAGACACGGUCCAGACUCCUACGGGAGGCAGCAGUGGGGAAUAUUGCACAAUGGGCGCAAGCCUGAUGCAGCCAUGCCGCGUGUAUGAAGAAGGCCUUCGGGUUGUAAAGUACUUUCAGCGGGGAGGAAGGGAGUAAAGUUAAUACCUUUGCUCAUUGACGUUACCCGCAGAAGAAGCACCGGCUAACUCCGAG